This is a long non-coding RNA of Rosa rugosa (rugosa rose), 837 nucleotides long. RefSeq lists it as uncharacterized. The transcript has 5 exons. Lineage: Eukaryota; Viridiplantae; Streptophyta; Magnoliopsida; Rosales; Rosaceae. The record is from RefSeq and is a predicted model, not a curated record.
UUACAUCUUUUGGAUUGGCUGGGUUAUAGUUUGAAAAAGGGUGAGAGCAGUUGUCAGUUUCUGAUCAUCUGUGGAGGAAUUUGGUUUGUAGUUUUCAAUCGAUUUGAUUUGCAGAGGGAGCUAGAUUCGUCAGUUUUGUUCUGCUGGAGAAGAAGACAAAUUUGGGUUGUGCAUAUUGAAGGGAGAGAGGUUUGAAGUGGAAGCAAAUAAAAGAGCAUGCUUACAACCCAAAUGAGGAGUAUGCAGAUGUGGAAUCCACAUUGCGUUCGCAUUUGGAAUCUUUUCUAGAAACUACAAGAUCAUUCAAUAUGAUUUACACCAAGGAAAUACGUCCCUGGACACACAUGAUGGAGGUACCCCAGCUCCAUGGGUUCGGGCUUGCAGCCAAUCGCUUAUUGGAGGCAUAUAAGAUGCUUUUGAAGAAACCUGUCGAGGAUAAUGUUGAGAAGAAGAAGAAAAGGAAAGAGAUAGGGGAGGAGAGGUAGCAGCCAAUACACCCAAGCAGAUACUGAUCAAGUGCGAAAUGAGUGGGAGAAGUUUGUUGUCAACACAUAUGUGCAUGAGCCGUGAAGUAGCGCGCUUGUUGCUGGUCCAUUUUUGCUAAGGAAAGCAUCUUUCUUUGUGCUUCUCUGCUGGUACAUUGUCAUGCACCAUGUGUUGCAUGUUUUGGAACAAUGGAUAUAUAUGUAUCAACUUUUUGAUGUCCCAAGUAGAUGGGCAUGCACUAGAAUGUUUUUCUUGUGUAAAAUGUUGGUUUCAAUGAUUGGGAAAUGUAUCCCUUUUGCUUUUGAAGUUUAAAGUAAUGGUUAUAUGAAUCAUUUGAUGGUUUGCAAUGUU